AUUUGGGAUAUUUCCAAAUGUUUACUUUUAAUUCAUUAGCAUAUGCAUAUCCUCUGUUUUUUUAAUUCAUUGUUGCCUCCUGUUUAUUGUUUAUGUUUGCCUUCUGGUGCUUCUGGUGUAUGGGCAAAACAAGUCUGAGUACAAAGUGGUGAAUUGCAUUUCACAUGCCAAUAUAAACAAAGAAUAAAAAAGAAAACAUGGUAUUCUCUAACACAAGAGCAUGAUACCUUGGGUCCAUUGGUGCAGACCAAGAGCAAAAAACUACCUAUGCUGCAAUAGCUUCAGUGGAAGUACAGUCAGGAUAGGGAGGCAGAAGAGAGGACAUGUUGAAGAAUCAAGGGGGACAACCACUAUUCAGUUUUUCUUUGUUAUUGCAUUACAGGAUUGUAGGGUGUUUAGAUUUUAAAUGCUGGCAUUGAUCGAGCUGUUAACUGGUUUUUAGUUCUGAUUAGAUGCGAAUCAUGUUUUAAUUAUGAUGAGAUGCAGAAAUUGUUGAGACAGGGCAUGAAUGAUCCAGAUCCAUUUAUCUAAUGAGAGGUGUAUCAGAGAAAUAAAAAAUAUAUUGAACUACAGUUCGUGACUUUAUGCGAAGAAUUCUAAGGGAGCAAGUCAUUUUACUGGGGCUAAUAAACCCAUACCCCGCAUCUCGUCUGCCCCGGGUGCGGAGGCGAGCUUCCCGGCGAUGGCGGCAGCGCUGGAUUCGAUCUGCAGGAGAGACAGGGAGGUGCGGCUUCAAAUGGGAGAGGGUCUUGAGACAGCUUCACAAGUAUUUAUGAUGAUCAUUUGCAUGGUGGGUCGUGCUAGCAAUGUGCUUUGCAUAUACAUGAUUCAAAUAUUUGUUAGGUGUUUUAGUUUACACAUUUCUCCUGAAAAUCUGUAUAUGUGUAUGCAGCCAUUUUUUAAUUGGCUAUGAUUCUUUUUAGUAUUUUAGUUUACACAUUUCUCUUGAGAAUCUUCAUAUCGAACUGUAAUAGUAUGUAUAAUAUAGGUUUGUAUUUUUCC
This is a long non-coding RNA of Triticum aestivum (bread wheat), 1002 nucleotides long. RefSeq lists it as uncharacterized. NCBI's taxonomy places the organism in Eukaryota, Viridiplantae, Streptophyta, Magnoliopsida, Poales, Poaceae. The transcript is spliced from 3 exons. The record is from RefSeq and is a predicted model, not a curated record.